GGAUAGUGGUGUAGUGGUUUGAACACUGGACUAUGACCCUGGAGAUCAGGGUUCAAAUCCCUGCACAGCUG
Molecule: non-coding RNA, 71 nt
Organism: Phrynosoma platyrhinos (Desert horned lizard)
Lineage: Eukaryota; Metazoa; Chordata; Lepidosauria; Squamata; Phrynosomatidae
Source: the annotation of a GenBank genome assembly